This 465-nucleotide ribosomal RNA is filed under the name Vreelandella stevensii. RNAcentral describes it as "partial 16S ribosomal RNA". It matches the Rfam family "Bacterial small subunit ribosomal RNA", at positions 338 to 795 of the family's 1533-position model. Lineage: Bacteria; Pseudomonadati; Pseudomonadota; Gammaproteobacteria; Oceanospirillales; Halomonadaceae. The record is from RNAcentral.
CCUACGGGCUGCAGCAGUGGGGAAUAUUGGACAAUGGGCGAAAGCCUGAUCCAGCCAUGCCGCGUGUGGGAAGAAGGCCUUCGGGUUGUAAAGCACUUUCAGUGGGGAAGAAAGCCUUGGGGCUAAUACCCUCGAGGAAGGACAUCACCCACAGAAGAAGCACCGGCUAACUCCGUGCCAGCAGCCGCGGUAAUACGGAGGGUGCGAGCGUUAAUCGGAAUUACUGGGCGUAAAGCGCGCGUAGGCGGUCUGAUAAGCCGGUUGUGAAAGCCCCGGGCUCAACCUGGGAACGGCAUCCGGAACUGUCAGGCUAGAGUGCAGGAGAGGAAGGUAGAAUUCCCGGUGUAGCGGUGAAAUGCGUAGAGAUCGGGAGGAAUACCAGUGGCGAAGGCGGCCCUCUGGACUGACACUGACGCUGAGGUGCGAAAGCGUGGGUAGCAAACAGGAUUAGAUACCCUGGUAGUC